This 1464-nucleotide long non-coding RNA is filed under the name Mus musculus (house mouse). Its description in RNAcentral is "ilncRNA-EC75". Lineage: Eukaryota; Metazoa; Chordata; Mammalia; Rodentia; Muridae. The record is from RNAcentral.
GCCAGGAGCCUCGUCUCCUGCAAAGGAAAACCAGGACAGCUCAGGGAGUUUUCAUGUGUGGAAACAGUGAGUGAGAUGUUGGCGGAUCAGUUCAUUACUGUGCUGCAGAGAGAUUAAGCCCACGUGGUAAGCAGGUCGCAUAAAUAGUUAAUGAGCAGUGUAGACGCACAGUUGAUCCACGUCUUCAGACUCCUUAUUCUUUACACAGUUCCUACAUUCAGAGCACUCUAAUCAGCCCUGUGACCACUGGACUAAUCCACAACAUUCGCCUCUUCACAAAAUCCUGCAAAGCUCGGCAGAAGAAGGCUCCCUGGAACUGGUGUUACAAGUGGUUGUAAGAUGCCACGUGGGUGCUGGGAAUUGAACCCGGAAAAGCAGCCAAUGUUCCUAACCACAGACACUCGAUCCAGCCCCUCUAUCCCUUGUUUUUCGGUAAAUAAUAAUUAUGAAGUGACGUGAACGAUUGUUGGCCUAUCAAGAAUAAUUAAAUGAAGGGCCAUUGGUAGAGGCUUGCUUCAUUUCGUAUGGAGCAAUGCAAGCCCUAUGCCUGUGCUCUUUCCACUGUGGUAAAGUACCAGAAAUUGAUCUGGGCCAUCCAGAGCCUCUGAGUCUUUAAACAGUGAAAGAAAGAGCAAACUGCCGAAAGGUAACAGACAAAUGGCCCAUGCCCCUUGUUGGCUUUAUAGGGUAACAGCUGAUGGAGUGGGGAUCAAUGGAUUAGGAUUAGCAAAAUAUCAACUGGUGAAGCUGGGUGGUCGGUAUAUACAUAUGCUGUGCUUUUUGUGUGUCUGAAAGCUUUCCUUAAAAACAACAAAAAGCUAUGGGAAAAGAAGUUAGGUCUUUUCUCUUCCCAGUGCAGUGCCCUAAUAGCCUCCCCACAAUAGAUUCGGCCAUGCCAUCUUUUAAAAAGUAUAAUACAAGAUGCUGCAUGCCUGUAAUCCUGGCACUCAGAAGACCGAGGCAGAAAGAUUGCAAGUUGGAGACCAGCCUGAACUCCAUAGUUGUUGUCCUAAGACAACAAAAAAGAAGGGAGAGACACACAGGUUAGUAGAAAACAAUGUCUAUUAGACUGCUCCUAAGCAGGUCCAGGACCCUGAACCAAUGGAACAUCCCAAAAGAGGGCUUGAAAUCUCUGCAAAGAGGCCGAAGUGUUCAGUGCCUGGCCCAGAGCAUGUGAGGCAGAUACUAUCAAUGACAGAUAUUAUCCAUGUUGUUAUAGAUGCUGUAAGGGUAGCCAAGGGCAUGCUGGUCCAGAGGGAAGGAGAGAGACUCAGGGAACAGAAUACCUUCUGGGUAUCUCAUCAGAAACUGUGCUAGCCCCUGUAAGUGGGCAUGCACAGAGAAGGGUGAGUCUUUGUCUCCACAGGGACUACGCCAGCAAUGUCUGUUGGCCUGGCUGUUUCAGAUCAUGCUGACCGUAUUAUGCAUCCCACCGGGAAAAGGGAGCAUUAAUACAGAGACAGG